RNAcentral lists this small nuclear RNA (56 nucleotides) under Xenopus laevis (African clawed frog). Its description in RNAcentral is "U7 small nuclear RNA". It matches the Rfam family "U7 small nuclear RNA". Rfam says of the family: Animal histone pre-mRNAs are spliced by a different mechanism than nuclear pre-mRNAs and self-splicing introns. This processing involves the U7 snRNP, which contains only one RNA species: U7. The record is from Rfam by way of RNAcentral. Lineage: Eukaryota; Metazoa; Chordata; Amphibia; Anura; Pipidae.
AAGUGUUACAGCUCUUUUACUAUUUGUAUAGUAGGUUGUUACUUAGAAGGACCCAC